This is a long non-coding RNA of Boleophthalmus pectinirostris (great blue-spotted mudskipper), 576 nucleotides long. RefSeq lists it as uncharacterized. NCBI's taxonomy places the organism in Eukaryota, Metazoa, Chordata, Actinopteri, Gobiiformes, Gobiidae. The record is from RefSeq and is a predicted model, not a curated record. The transcript is spliced from 3 exons.
AGGAGCCACAGUCAUUGCCAGCUCUGCUGAGACGUAUACAGCUGCAGUGGCUUGUCUCGCUCCAGUCAGAUGAUCCACAGACUUCUGAUCCAGAAACUUUUCUGGAGUGUGACCCGUCAGAUGCUCUCAGCCACAUGAGAGGAAGAGGUGAUCGAGGCCUGGUCCAAUAAGAGACUUGGCCCAACACAAGGGAGAAGGCCUUCAGUCUGUGUAAUCUGCUGUUACUCUGAAGUUCAGUCUAAUCAAAACUGAAGCAUCACUGCUGAUGAAGAUCUCCAGAGGAACAAGAAACUCCAACAGUGGUGCUGAGGAGCACACUGGACCUGUGGAUUUAAUGGAGGAACAAAAAGAGACAAAUGGUUUUUGGAGGACUCAAAAACAAAUGAUGAAGCUCAUAUAGAAGACUACGCCCCUGGAGAAAAAGGACAGUGAUGAUGAGACGGACUACAGGAACGAUGUGUGACAUCUGGCCUCAUGGUGACAACCAAGCAGAUUAUUGUGGACUUCAACUAAAAUGGGCAAAACAACCAUCAAACUCUCUGUGUCGGCACUGAGGUAGUAGAGAGGGUGACCAUG